AUUGAACGCUGGCGGCAGGCCUAACACAUGCAAGUCGAGCGGACGAAGGGAGCUUGCUCCUGGAUUCAGCGGCGGACGGGUGGGUAAUGCCUAGGAAUCUGCCUGGUCGUGGGGGAUAACGUCCGGAAACGGGCGCUAAUACCGCGUACGACCUGAGGGAGAAAGUGGGGGAUCUUCGGACCUCACGCUAUCAGAUGAGCCUAGGUCGGAUUAGCUAGUUGGUGGGGUAAAGGCCUACCAAGGCGACGAUCCGUAACUGGUCUGAGAGGAUGAUCAGUCACACUGGAACUGAGACACGGUCCAGACUCCUACGGGAGGCAGCAGUGGGGAAUAUUGGACAAUGGGCGAAAGCCUGAUCCAGCCAUGCCGCGUGUGUGAAGAAGGUCUUCGGAUUGUAAAGCACUUUAAGUUGGGAGGAAGGGCAGUAAGUUAAUACCUUGCUGUUUUGACGUUACCAACAGAAUAAGCACCGGCUAACUUCGUG
Molecule: ribosomal RNA, 484 nt
Filed under: uncultured bacterium
Lineage: Bacteria
Description: partial 16S ribosomal RNA
Rfam family: Bacterial small subunit ribosomal RNA
Source: RNAcentral